CCUACGGGAGGCAGCAGUGGGGAAUCUUGCGCAAUGGGCGAAAGCCUGACGCAGCCAUGCCGCGUGAAUGAUGAAGGUCUUAGGAUUGUAAAAUUCUUUCACCGGGGACGAUAAUGACGGUACCCGGAGAAGAAGCCCCGGCUAACUUCGUGCCAGCAGCCGCGGUAAUACGAAGGGGGCUAGCGUUGCUCGGAAUUACUGGGCGUAAAGGGAGCGUAGGCGGAUAGUUUAGUCAGAGGUGAAAGCCCAGGGCUCAACCUUGGAAUUGCCUUUGAUACUGGCUAUCUUGAGUACGGAAGAGGUAUGUGGAACUCCGAGUGUAGAGGUGAAAUUCGUAGAUAUUCGGAAGAACACCAGUGGCGAAGGCGACAUACUGGUCCGUUACUGACGCUGAGGCUCGAAAGCGUGGGGAGCAAACAGGAUUAGAUACCCUGGUAGUCCACGCUGUAAACGAUGAGUGCUAGUUGUCGGCAUGCAUGCAUGUCGUGACGCAGCUACGCAUAGCACUCCGCCGUCGGGAGGUACGGUCGCGAGAUAACUACAAGAAGUAGUAGACGNGNGAGACGCGACGACGACGACGACGGAGGAGAG
RNAcentral lists this ribosomal RNA (591 nucleotides) under uncultured bacterium. Its description in RNAcentral is "bacterial SSU rRNA". The stretch from base 1 to 513 matches the Rfam family "Bacterial small subunit ribosomal RNA", at positions 338 to 873 of the family's 1533-position model. The record is from RNAcentral.